Dreissena polymorpha is the source of this 1295-nucleotide long non-coding RNA. RefSeq lists it as uncharacterized. The transcript is spliced from 3 exons. The record is from RefSeq and is a predicted model, not a curated record. Lineage: Eukaryota; Metazoa; Mollusca; Bivalvia; Myida; Dreissenidae.
CGCCUCGCGAAAACAUCCAAAACAAAACACUCAAAACGAAAAUAAAAUAUUCACCACCACCUGGUUUGCCAACAUCGUCUUUACAAGGAAUGUCCAGCAGUGCAUGACAGAGGCCGGUCACUCCCAUUAAGUCCAGCUGAAGAGCCUUCCCAGUUCAUAGGACAAAAUGCAGUUACACAGAUUUUAACGGUGUUGGAAACAAUGAGAGACGAGAACAGGGAAAUGAAGCGGAUGCUGCAUCGGCUCUUGGCUAGGUCAGCUACUGAUGACGAGCCAAUGCAACUGCCAUCAGUCUUCCAAUUGGAACAUUUGAGCAAAUAGAUGAGUUUGAAGAGCAUCUUGGUGAUGAAGCUACGAUCCAUCUUUUCUAGGACUGCUGCAUAGUUCAAGCUUUUUUAUCAAAUAUAUUAAGCAAUGUUGUAAAUGUAAUUGACAGUUCUUUCUCCAUUGAUCCUAAACCAUUCCUUUAAGGAUCAUUUUCUAAGAAAGCAUACAUUCUUUUUUAUCUGGAAAUGAAAUGGUAUAUAUUCCUUUGCAAAAGAAGAAACAGCAUUUCAGUUUUUGAAGGUUUUAAAAGACAUAUAUAUAUAUAUAUAUCAUGUGCAAUUACGAAAAACACUAGAAUGUAUGAAGAUAUCAAAGAUAAUAAUAUGGACUUGUUCUCGAAAUAGGAUUUGCCAUUUAUUUGAGUUUUUGGAUUUUUCUGCAGGGUUUUUAAUUUCUAGUUUAUAAAAUAUUUUGUUGAGUCUUGCAAGUAUGUUUUCUACAAAUGUUCUUUGAGUACAUGGUGUGUUAUUUGUUUUGGUUAAAGAUUUAAUAUGCAUGGGUAUGCUUUUGAGUAAUGUGUAGUACAUCAGGAAAAUACUUGAAGGUAUUUUGUAUAUGUAAUAUAUAUUUUAUAUCAAAAUAAUAGGAGUCCUUAAUUCUAUAGUUGUAUAACUGGUCAACAUAUAUAAUGUUAUAGAAAAACGUCGUAUUGUUUGAAGUUAUGUCAUUAUUGUUCCAUAAAAUAGUUCAACUGUUGGUUUGGGUUUAUAGAUUAUGAGUAACAUUACUCCAUGCGGAUAGAACAUUAGAUAGAAACAUGUUUUCGUUAGCAACUUCAUGUAAAAUAUUUUUGCUGAUGUUACAUUCAAAAAGUUAGGAAUCACCAUAUUAUUUUAGAAUUCUCUGGUAGAAUAGUUAACGUGGGAUCCUCCUGCUAUUUAUGUAUGUAUCCAUGUAUAUGUGUGUAAUACUUUAUGUGAAUAAAAGUUGAGAGUACUUUAAUAAAUUUUUAAGUCUUUUAACAAAAA